CGAAAUCGGUAGACGCUACGMCCUUAAAAUCCGUCGACUUUAAAAAUCGUGAGGGUUCAAGUCCCUCUAUCCCCA
RNAcentral lists this transfer RNA (75 nucleotides) under Sideritis gomeraea. RNAcentral describes it as "Sideritis gomerae partial tRNA-Leu". Lineage: Eukaryota; Viridiplantae; Streptophyta; Magnoliopsida; Lamiales; Lamiaceae. The record is from RNAcentral.